CUCGCUCACUGCCGUCACUCGUCCCCUAAAUCACGACGGUGGUCACUUUGCCCCGGCAAUCCUCUGCGUGGAUGUGUGGAUGGCAGUACGGACCCGGCCGCCGGCGCUAGGCAAGGGAGGAGUAGCGGCGGAUCUGCGGCAGGGGGAGGAAGACGAGGCUAGAAUAGUCAGGCUCCUGAUCGAUCUCGUUGACAAUUCUAGGGUCCAAGGCCCAGCCGCCUCUCGCUGCCCCCGCUUGCAAACCACCGAUCUUGUAGUUCUUGUGUGAUCGUUGCCUGCUUAUCGUAAGAUUGCGACACCAUCCCCCAACUCACCGCUAGAUUUUUGGCGAAGGUACACCAAACAGUCAAACACCAUUCAGUGUAUGGGAGAGCUUGAAGCAACAGGAGACCAGCACCCUGGGUCCAACGGCGAGGCUGGGCUCAAUGUGAUCUUCACGCCCCAGAUGCUGGUGCUUUGGGCAGGAGAUGAUGGAUGGUCAAACAGGGUUUCAGGAGACUUUCAGGCGUUCCUGGCACCGCAAGUGAGGCCAGUCCGAGUGGAGAUGCCUAGUGUCUGCGAUCAAACUUGGUUUUUCAUUUGCGAAGGAUAUGCUUAUGGACAAUAAUCUGAACAAGAGUCUGAAUGCACUUGAGAAGGAUAAUCUUGUAAGGCCACUGGUGAAGACUUCUGUUGAGCCAUGUGAUGAGAGGAGGCCCUUCCACGCUCUCUUGGAUGUUGGUCUUCUUAGAUGGUCACCGGCUGGCAAAUACUAGAAUCUUGGAUGUUGAUUUUUUUUUUCUUCCAUUGAAGCAUUGGUGGAGAAGUGUCAUAAUCCUUGGCUGUUUUAAGUGCAUGGUUACAGUGACACCGUCUGGCUUUAGUUCAAGCAUGCCCUGUACCAGUGAUCUUUCAUUCUGAGCCUCUAAUUUAGCAAUGAGCUGAGUAGGCAUACAUGUAAACUGUUCACACGUUGAUUGUAAAAUCACAGUAAAAGCU
Molecule: long non-coding RNA, 978 nt
Organism: Lolium rigidum
Lineage: Eukaryota; Viridiplantae; Streptophyta; Magnoliopsida; Poales; Poaceae
Exons: 3
Source: RefSeq, a predicted model, not a curated record